CGAAAGACGACGUGAUAAAAACUCUAUUUGUAAUGAAGUGUUUUUAUUCCUAGGCUCACGAAUACCCUUUUCCAUCUAGGUACAAAUAUUCAUGUUGUUUUCAAUAAAAGAUCAGAGUUCCAAUGUCUCCCGCAUUGAACAUAUUUUAUCUAUCCAAGAUACCAGGGCAGAAGCUAAAAAAAAACACUUUUUUUCUUUUUUGUAUAUAUAUCUCGAGAGAAACAAAAGCUCCCGAACAAAUACAAUGGGAUUUGCAUUAUAAUUUAUAUUUCCAAGGGGCAUAAUUGGUUAAAAAUAUUUGAUCAGGAUUUAUACUCGCAUGUGUGAAAGACAUGGCUGCAUGAAAAUCUGGCAAGAAUUUCACACAUGACAGCGCUAACAAGACCGGACGGAUGGACGCCCGGUAUUUCCAUAUCCCCUCGCGGCAAUGAGUUAAGAGAUGUAAUCAAAAAC
This 453-nucleotide long non-coding RNA is filed under the name Mytilus galloprovincialis (Mediterranean mussel). The record is from RNAcentral. Lineage: Eukaryota; Metazoa; Mollusca; Bivalvia; Mytilida; Mytilidae.